Molecule: ribosomal RNA, 460 nt
Filed under: uncultured bacterium
Lineage: Bacteria
Description: partial 16S ribosomal RNA
Rfam family: Bacterial small subunit ribosomal RNA
Source: RNAcentral
CCUACGAGUGGCAGCAGUGAGGAAUAUUGGGCAAUGGACGCAAGUCUGAAGCAGCCAUGCCGCGUGCAGGAAGACGGCUCUAUGAGUUGUAAACUGCUUUUAUACGAGAGUAAACGCAGAUACGCGUAUCUGUCUGAAAUGACCGUACGAAUAAGGAUCGGCUAACUCCGGUCCAGCAGCCGCGGUACUACGGAGGAGUCAAGGGUUGUCCGGAUUGAUUGGGUUUAACGGGUGCGUUGGCGGUCGGGUAAGUUAGAUGUAAAAUCCCGAGGCUCAACUUCGGAAUUGCCUAUGAUACUGUUCGGCUAGAGAGUAGGUGCGGUAGGCGGAAUGUAUGGUGUAGCGGUGAAAUGCUUAGAGAUCAUACAGAACACCGAUUGCGAAGGCAGCUUACCAAGCUACUUCUGACGUUGAGGCACGAAAGCGUGGGGAGCAAACAGGAUUAGAUACCCGGGUAGUC